Panicum virgatum (switchgrass) is the source of this 604-nucleotide long non-coding RNA. RefSeq lists it as uncharacterized. The transcript is spliced from 3 exons. The record is from RefSeq and is a predicted model, not a curated record. Lineage: Eukaryota; Viridiplantae; Streptophyta; Magnoliopsida; Poales; Poaceae.
AGACUCGACUUCUUUGUUCUAGAAUGUGCGAUGGCUUGGAGAGGCAGAAAGAACAUCAAGGAACCUCUAUUGAAAAAGGGGAAGAACUGUGGAAUCAGGAUCCGACGGCUUGAUCGCAAAAUCGGGCUGGAGAAGAUAGAAGCGGAAGCUGUUGGAUAAUCGGCAGAAUCUAUCGACGAAUAAAAAAGGUCGAGAAAGUGCAUAUUGAAAUCAUGCGGGACGGAGGAUCCGCGGGAGAAUCGGAAGAAAUAUCGCAUUACAUGUAGCAGGGAUCUUCAUCCGUGCUCACGCGAGCACCAAUUUGCAGAACACCCCGUCCUAGUGACAUCAAGUUCCUCCAUGAAAAGGAGCCACGCCAUUAGCGGACCACAUGCAAGAAUCGCACCCUGGGAAGAAAGUGCUGUAAGCAAAGCUUUGCGAGCAGCAGAAUCGAGCACAAACAAACUAGUUUUCGAACCUGCUGUAGGAACAACCUUUAACAGCUGUGAGGAGGCUAAGGAUUACUACAACCUAUACUCAUGGGAGAUCGGAUUCGGCAUUCGGUACGGAAGAAGCAGGACAAAUUCUAACAACUACAGGAUGAGACAAGACCUGGUGUGCUCAU